Molecule: ribosomal RNA, 329 nt
Filed under: uncultured eukaryote
Lineage: Eukaryota
Description: partial 18S ribosomal RNA
Rfam family: Eukaryotic small subunit ribosomal RNA
Source: RNAcentral
CCCUUAGAUGUUCUGGGCCGCACGCGCGCUACACUGACGGCUUCAACGAGUUGCUUUGUCCUUGCCCGAGAGGGUAUGGGUAAUCUUGUGAAAGGUUGUCGUGCUGGGGAUUGAUUACUGCAAUAAGAAUCAUCAACGAGGAAUGCCUAGUAAGUGCGAGUCAUCAGCUCGCGCUGAUUACGUCCCUGCCCUUUGUACACACCGCCCGUCGCUCCUACCGAUUGGAUGAUCAGGUGAAAUCCUCGGACUGGCUGAUUUAGGUUUUCGGACCUUUUUUAGGCGGGAAGUUGAUUAAAUCUUAUCAUCUAGAGGAAGGAGAAGUCGUAACA